UACGUAGGGGGCAAGCGUUGUCCGGAAUUAUUGGGCGUAAAGAGCGUGUAGGCGGCCAGAUAAGUCCGCUGUGAAAUCUCGAGGCUCAACUUCGAGCUGUCGGUGGAAACUAUCUGGCUAGAGUCCGGAAGAGGAGAAUGGAAUUCCUGGUGUAGCGGUGAAAUACGCAGAUAUCAGGAAGAACACCCGUGGCGAAGGCGGUUCUCUGGGACGGUACUGACGCUGAGACGCGAAAGCGUGGGGAGCGAACAGG
RNAcentral lists this ribosomal RNA (253 nucleotides) under uncultured bacterium. Its description in RNAcentral is "partial 16S ribosomal RNA". It matches the Rfam family "Bacterial small subunit ribosomal RNA", at positions 524 to 776 of the family's 1533-position model. The record is from RNAcentral.